RNAcentral lists this ribosomal RNA (294 nucleotides) under uncultured bacterium. Its description in RNAcentral is "partial 16S ribosomal RNA". It matches the Rfam family "Bacterial small subunit ribosomal RNA", at positions 335 to 646 of the family's 1533-position model. The record is from RNAcentral.
UCACCUACGGGGGGCAGCAGUGGGGAAUAUUGCACAAUGGGGGAAACCCUGAUGCAGCGACGCCGCGUGAGUGAGGAAGUAUUUCGGUAUGUAAAGCUCUAUCAGCAGGGAAGAAAAUGACGGUACCUGACCAAGAAGCCCCGGCUAACUACGUGCCAGCAGCCGCGGUAAUACGUAGGGGGCAAGCGUUAUCCGGAUUUACUGGGUGUAAAGGGAGCGUCGGCGGCUGUGUAAGCCAGAAGUGAAAGCCCGAGGCUCAACCACGGCACUGCUUUUGUCACUACAUGGCUUGAU